CACGUAGGGCGCAAGCGUUGUCCGGAAUUAUUGGGCGUAAAGAGCUCGUAGGCGGUGUGUCGCGUCGGCCGUGAAAACCUGGGGCUUAACUCUGGGCGUGCGGUCGAUACGGGCAUCACUAGAGUUCGGCAGGGGAGACUGGAAUUCCUGGUGUAGCGGUGAAAUGCGCAGAUAUCAGGAGGAACACCGGUGGCGAAGGCGGGUCUCUGGGCCGAUACUGACGCUGAGGAGCGAAAGCGUGGGGAGCGAACAGG
Molecule: ribosomal RNA, 254 nt
Filed under: uncultured bacterium
Lineage: Bacteria
Description: partial 16S ribosomal RNA
Rfam family: Bacterial small subunit ribosomal RNA
Source: RNAcentral